RNAcentral lists this ribosomal RNA (253 nucleotides) under uncultured bacterium. RNAcentral describes it as "partial 16S ribosomal RNA". It matches the Rfam family "Bacterial small subunit ribosomal RNA", at positions 524 to 776 of the family's 1533-position model. The record is from RNAcentral.
UACGUAGGGUGCAAGCGUUAUCCGGAAUUAUUGGGCGUAAAGAGCUCGUAGGCGGUUUGUCGCGUCGGAUGUGAAACCUCGGGGCUCAACCCCGAGCCUGCAUUCGAUACGGACAGACUAGAGUGUUGCAGGGGAGACUGGAAUUCCUGGUGUAGCGGUGAAAUGCGCAGAUAUCAGGAGGAACACCGGUGGCGAAGGCGGGUCUCUGGGCAACAACUGACGCUGAGGAGCGAAAGCGUGGGGAGCGAACAGG